This is a long non-coding RNA of Oncorhynchus mykiss (rainbow trout), 5216 nucleotides long. NCBI's taxonomy places the organism in Eukaryota, Metazoa, Chordata, Actinopteri, Salmoniformes, Salmonidae. The record is from Ensembl.
AUGCAAAACAUAUUACAUCACUUUCCCUUCAUGAAUCCUUCUCUCAUUUGUCUAUGUCUGUUAUUUUCCUUCAGAGCUUUACUGGACAAUGAAAGUCUGAUGGGGGAUUUCUCUUCAACAAAUCAGCUAAGGAGUACCUACACAUCUGAUGGAGUCCCCAGCUCUCGAGGGGUUAAGCAAAGCUUCCAGACACAGCUGGCUACCAGUCACAUAAUCAGUCCCUUCUCUACCAUCCAUAGAGCAAGCCCACGAUCCAAUGUAACAACGAUGUCCGCAUCACCAAUCUGGACUCAAAACCAGGUGACCCUGAACGAAACACCUGAGAGUUGUCGAAAGACAGAGGAAGAGCAGGUUGACUUUGACUUAGGGUCCAACCGGCAGGUUAUUUGGUCAACGCCUUACCCCAAAGUACCACAGGAUGGAAUUUCAGUCGACCACUUCAGACCCCAAGAUGUCCAUGAAGAAGUCAACUAUGCUGAGCCUCUCUCACCUCCCACUGAAGAGGCAGGAGCUGAUGUUGUAUCUUGGCUUGGUUCUGACCAUAAGGAACAAUCCAUGUGGGAUUUAGAAAAGGAGGAAGAGGAUCAGAACAUAGUCAGAACCUGGGUUGCUAAAGACAAACCAGUUCUGGAACCUGCCAUGAGUCACCAGGUUGAGAUCAGCUUCAGUAUGCCAACUGUGUUCAGCACUGAUGCUCAAGAGCUCUACAGCCCUUCAGUGAGCGAUGAGAGAGCAGGUUCAGUGACAGGGGCACAUUCUGCUUUCUCGGCAAAUGAUGAUAAUGAUGUACCUUUUGAAAUGUCUUCUGAAAAGGAGGAACCUCUACUAGAUCUGCCUUACGGUCCCAUGAAUGCAUUGGAGGAAAGAGAUCUCGAAACAGCAAGGAAAGACGCUGAAUGGGUGGGGAAAGAAGGCUUGGAGUCUGAAAUUAAAUCAGUGCUAGAACCUGCAUUUGAGACCUUCACAAGCAGUCAAGCUUUUGAGUACAACAAGUCAAAAGAGUUCAACCAAGAGGACAAUAUGUCAUAUGCAUCUACUCAAGCCUCCCACGGUUCAGAAGAGGCAUUUCACCAUGUUAAAAGAGUGGAGGAAGAUGUUAUUAAUCUCACAAAAGAGGAUGAUGAAAACUAUAUGUCUAACAAAGAUGAGGAGCAAUUGGAAGAUGAAUUGCGCCCCUAUGGGUAUGGUAAGGAUGAUUGUGAAAGAUUGGCAGGGUUCAAUAAGGAACAUUGUGUGACAGAAAGAAUCGAUAAGUUCAACCGAGAGGCGAUUAUCUCAUAUGAAUCUGCUCAAGCUUCUCACUGGUCAGAAGAGGUAUUUCACCAUGUUGAAAGACUGGAGGAAGGUGAUAUAAAUUUCACAAAAGGGGAUGAUGAAAAUGAUAUGUAUAAUAAACGUGAGGAACAAUAUGCAUUGCACCCCAAUGGGGAUGUAGAUGAUGAAUGGAAUAGAGUGGGAGGAUACAAUGAAGAGAAUGGAAUUAGAGAAAGAAUGGAUGAAGGAAAGGAUCAAGAAGGAAAGGAUCAUAUGAAAGAGGAAGAGAUGUGGAAUAACAGAGAAACCCAACCAAAUCAGUCUGAUCAAGAGCAUAUACCUUCAAAUGUAGAGAAACUGAAUCAAUUUGAGCAAGAGCAUAUACCUUUAGGCAGAGAGAAACGGAAUAUAUCCGACAAUGACAAAGAGGAUCAUGAUGAGGCAAACUACUGUCAAAAUACUUAUGUUUCAUGGAGGGCUGAGCUAGAAGGUGACAGCUACACUCAGGACAACACACUGGCCGACACACACCCCCUGAUCCGUUACAAGAGUGACGAGACGGAUGCCAACACUCAGGCUUCACACAUGGGAGAAAGUGACUCCAGUGAUGGUGAACAGGACAGGGAGGUUUGCCAGACAGGAUCAGGCACCUGGGGCGAAGGCAAGUCCAAACAGUUUGACACCAUGGAGGAUCUGUAUGAAGAGUCAGAAGGGGAUGUCAUAGAUCAGGAAAGUAACAUGGGCUCCACUCACCAAGAGGACAUGGAUGCUAGCCAAACAAAGGAGCAUGCUACACAGGAGAACGAUGAGGAGACUGCAGUAGAUCAGUUGAUUCAGGAGGCAGAAGAGGAACAAUCCUAUGAGGACCUUACAGAACCUGGAGAGUACUCCAUGAUGUGCUCUGAUGAGGACAAUAAUGAAGAAAGAAUUGAUAGAUUGGUAGAGCAAGAAUUAGAGAAUUUAUCUAUAUCCAGUUACAGUGAACACUUUAAUGGGCAGAUGAUUGAGAGCGAGUCAGUACUGAGUCUUCAAAUUGGGUCUCACACUGAACUUUCCCAGACACAAGACAUAUUAUACAGUGAGGAGGUAGAGCAGAUACACUCAGAGAGACUGAAUCAAUCUGAACAAGAGCAUACGACCUCAGGCGGCGAGGAACUGAAUCAAUCUGAACAAGAGCAUAUGACCUCAGGCGGCGAGGAACUGAAUCAAUCUGAGCAAGACCAUAUGACCUCAGGCGGCGAGAAACUGAAUCAAUCUGAGCAAGAGCAUACGACUUCAGGCGGCGAGAAACUGAAUCAAUCUGAGCAAGAGCAUACGACUUCAGGCGGCGAGAAACUGAAUCAAUCUGAGCAAGAGCAUACAACUUCAGGCGGCGAGAAACUGAAUCAAUCUGAGCAAGAGCAUACGACUUCAGGCGGCGAGAAACUGAAUCAAUCUGAACAAGAGCAUACGACUUCAGGCGGCGAGAAACUGAAUCAAUCUGAACAAGAGCAUACGACUUCAGGCGGCGAGAAACUGAAUCAAUCUGAACAAGAGCAUACGACUUCAGGCGGCGAGAAACUGAAUCAAUCCGUGCAAGAAUAUAUACCCUCAGACGGAGAGGAACUGAAUCAAUCUGAACAAGAGUAUAUACCCUCAGACGGAGAGGAACUGAAUCAAUCUGAACAAGAGUAUAUACCCUCAGACGGAGAGGAACUGAAUCAAUCUGAACAAGAGUAUAUACCCUCAGGUGAAGAGGAACUGAAUCAAUCUGAGCCAGAGUAUAUACCCUCAGGUGGAGAGGAACUGAAUCAAUCUGAGCCAGAGUAUAUACCCUCAGGUGGAGAGGAACUGAAUCAAUCUGAGCCAGAGUAUAUACCCUCAGGUGGAGAGGAACUGAAUCAAUCUGAGUCAGAGUAUAUACCCUCAGGUGGAGAGGAACUGAAUCAAUCUGAGCCAGAGUAUAUACCCUCAGAGGUUAUGUAUUCAAUGCACUCUAGGAUUCGAAUGACACCUGAACACACAUCUCUUAGAGAAAGUUCAGCAGAAAUAUCCAAAGCAGAAUAUUUGGCUCAAGGUAAGGUCUUCAGUGAGGAACUGGGAACUGAAGCUGUACCAGACAAAAUAGAAGGACAGGAUGACCAGAACCUUUCUAUGCUGACUCAUGCAGACUUUACUGAAAGCCAUUCUAUCCACAGCAGUUUAAACAGCAGGCCUGAGAGUCAAACCAACAUGAACAACUCGGAUAUAGAAGAGUCCAACAGCACAGAUGAUGAGUCUCCAAAUGCAAGCCAGUAUUUGCAACGUGCCAACGAAGCAAAUCUAACUGCAGAUCAGGUAGACUUGUUAGAUGUGGCGGUCUCUCACUAUGAGGAUUGCAAUGCUCUUAUAGAACAUUCUGCAGAGGAGGUCACUAGCUAUCAGGCAAGUCAUGAAUGUCUUCAGACAGACAAAUGGGAAGUCUUAGAAAGUCCAAACAAACACCUGGAAUCUGGAGAUCCUUUUGCAGGUCACAAGAGAGACUCGGAGAGAUCAUCCAAAACUGACAGCAAAGGCCGGGACCUCCACAGCUUCCUCAGCUCUGGUGUACACAGCAACUUCUGGGGUUCCAAUCUGGAAACAGGAGCCUCCUAUCAACCGGACGAGCCAUAUGACCAUGUGACCAAGCUACCCAAUCAGAACCUAGCCUUGGCUGAUAACCUAUCCUGGGUGGAUUUGGAAUCCACAGGCGGCCAAUUGGAACAUAAAGAUGGACAGUGACACAUCUAAAGCUUCCACCCUUGAAGAAGAGGACAAACAGAUGCCCUCACAGGUGAAGCAGCUGGUGUGUAGAGAUGUAGUAGAGGGUGUGAAUGUUACUUCUGAAGGUUCUGAAGAUGAGGGAGACUCCAGGUCAUCUGGGGAAGAAUAGGAACAAUUUCAGCAUGGUUUCUAUAAGGAGUAAAGUAGAAGUAACAAGUGUUAUUGAGAGUGUAAUACUAUUUACACUUUACAGGCUUUGAAUAUGAGCAUUGAUUCACAUUGAUCCUUACAGUGAAAAGUAAUUGAAAGGAUAAUAUGUCACAGAAUGUCAUGACAAUUCAGUGCUCUCUGGAAUCCUUGGGAUGUUCCUACCCUAAACCCCAACCUUAACCCCUACCCCACCCUUACCUUAACCCUAAAUAUAACCAUAACCCUUACCUACACCAUUUAAAAUGUCAACUUCAAUGGGGUAGGGACGUCCCAAGGAUGCGAGAUAGCAUGGACCGUCAAAUAUUUAUGCUGUUUUCAAAAACCAAAGUUGUGCCUUGGUGCACACCCUGCUGACACUAACCACCAGUGUACCUACUCCAUUUCAAGACAUUGAGGGCCAUUUUUGUAAGUUUUACAAAUGUAUGUUUGAAUAGCCAUUUUUCUAUUCUUUGGAGAACAAAAGUAACUUAGUUAAAAACCAAAUAAAGGACAUUUGAAAGUCAAAGCAUUCUUGAUUUGAUUGCACUGAUUGAAGGAAAUCAAUUAGAGAAAAAGUGAGAACCCAGGUAUUUCAAUGCACAAGACCUGGGAGCCUGUUUUUCUAGUGGCAACUUUUAUCUUAACAUCGUAAGCAAGUUUAUUUGAUAAGGACUCCAGUUGAUAUACACAGUACCUUCAGAAAGUACUCAUUCCCCAUGACUUACUCCAAUGAGAAGUGUUAUUUAUGAUUAUAAUUUGAAUUACAACUCAAACACUACAAGCAGCAGUGCAGUGGUUUGAAAUCCUAGAAGAACAGCUUGCCUUCAUUUUAAUAAAUAUAACUAACAGACAAUGAAACAACAUGGUACCAUAUUAGCUAUGCUUUGUUAACCAUUACGGAAAAAAACACUUGUGUUGUUUUUUGGCUAGUGUUCUUUGUAGAAAUGCACACAAAAAAAAAUAAAAUAUAAAACUAAUUGACAAAUAUGUUUAUAAUUGUAUAUUUGCUUAAGAACUUUUUAUGACUUAUUUCAUGAUGCAGUUUUGAUAUA